This 184-nucleotide non-coding RNA is filed under the name Psychromonas sp. CNPT3. RNAcentral's name for it is "6S / SsrS RNA". It matches the Rfam family "6S / SsrS RNA". Rfam says of the family: E. coli 6S RNA was the first non coding RNA to be sequenced, but its function was unknown until recently. It consists of 184 nucleotides that fold into an extended hairpin structure with a large single-stranded internal bulge. The record is from Rfam by way of RNAcentral. Lineage: Bacteria; Pseudomonadati; Pseudomonadota; Gammaproteobacteria; Alteromonadales; Psychromonadaceae.
UUAACCCUCGGGUAUUCGCUGAUCUUGACAAAGUCUCUGAGCCGAUAAGUAAUACCCUGGUAACUUGGAUUGGAUGCUCUUGUGCAUGCUCGGCUAGUAUCGAGAAGCCUGCGGCAAACACUGGGAUACCACACUUGACCUUCGGGUUCAAGGUCCACGUCAAUAACGAUGCCCUUGGGUUACU